This 285-nucleotide long non-coding RNA is filed under the name Manihot esculenta (cassava). Its description in RNAcentral is "long non-coding RNA (MESC_LNC011432)". Lineage: Eukaryota; Viridiplantae; Streptophyta; Magnoliopsida; Malpighiales; Euphorbiaceae. The record is from RNAcentral.
UAAAGCAUGUUGAAGGUAAGGCUCAAUUAGUGCGUGAGCAAUGUAUUGCAGAGUAUCAGGAGUCUGAUGAGCUGAAAAAGAAGAUCGAGCAGGCCUGUGAGGCUUAUCUUCAGGACUACAAAGACUCUUCUGAGUUUAAGGAAUUUGUAGCUGAGGCCUGUGAGGAACAUCUCGAUGAAUAUAAGGCUUCUGGUGAAAUGAAAUCGGCGGUUCUUAAGAAAGCCUUCCGUAUGUAUGUGACCGGCUACAAUCGUGGCUUAAGAGAGGCCAGACACGCUCCUGAUA